Molecule: ribosomal RNA, 446 nt
Filed under: uncultured bacterium
Lineage: Bacteria
Description: bacterial SSU rRNA
Rfam family: Bacterial small subunit ribosomal RNA
Source: RNAcentral
CCCCAGACUCCUACGGGAGGCAGCAGUGGGGGAUAUUGCACAAUGGGGGAAACCCUGAUGCAGCGACGCCGCGUGGAGGAAGAAGGUCUUCGGAUUGUAAACUCCUGUCCGAGGGGACGAUAAUGACGGUACCCUUGGAGGAAGCACCGGCUAACUACGUGCCAGCAGCCGCGGUAAAACGUAGGGUGCAAGCGUUGUCCGGAAUUACUGGGUGUAAAGGGAGCGCAGGCGGACUGUCAAGUUGGGAGUGAAAGCUACGGGCUCAACCCGUAACUUGCUUUCAAAACUGGCGGUCUUGAGUGGUGGAGAGGUAGGCGGAAUUCCCGGUGUAGCGGUGGAAUGCGUAGAUAUCGGGAGGAACACCAGUGGCGAAGGCGGCCUACUGGACAGUAACUGACGUUGAGGCUCGAAAGCGUGGGGAGCAAACAGGAUUAGAUACCCCAGUA